CCUCCCCCACUAUUUUCACCAAAAUCCAGCCUUGAUUUGCAUCCCUUUCCCUAGUUAUAAAAUUAGUCCAUAAUGGGAAUUGUCUAUUUACAUGAACAUAAGCGACUUUUUAUUUGGCUUCCAUUUAUGAAUAUUAAAGGUCCAUUUACAUUGUUAUUUGUUGUUAAGUUGUUACUACUAAUCUUUUUUCAAACUGGUAAAUCUUUUCAAAGCCCCCCUUCUUUCGUCUCUCUGUAUUUUUUCAAAGCCCCCCCCUUCAGGUUUUAAAAAAAUUAAAGGCCCCCAGUUUCUCCUCAAUCCCCUGUACAAUAAAUAACGAGCGGUCCCUAAAUGAAUAUGAAAUAGAGUUUAUGUUCAGAAAAAUUCGAAACAUUCGAAAUUUGGGAAAUGUUCACAUUAGAUCUCGAGGUCCUCACAUUGUUAUGAGCAGAACCGAUGCGCAGAACGGACUUGACUUCCCCUUUAACUAUUUCUAUGUCAUAUGAAAUAAAAUAUGACACGCAGCCGUUGAACGAAAAUUAUGCCAAGAAAAGUCGGCCUUGCCGUUUGGCGUUCCGCAAACGUGAAGCUUAUUACUGUAAAACCCGAGCAAAAUUGCAAAAACCUGAAGUUUUUUCAGAAAACCAGGGGGUGUGGAAAAUGGAAAUUGUAGCGGGCUCAAAUCCGAGCCUGCCAACCUGGUCAGUGGUAAUUACCAUCAGAAAUACGGACCAGUUGUCAUGG
Non-coding RNA from Paramuricea clavata, 723 nucleotides. Lineage: Eukaryota; Metazoa; Cnidaria; Anthozoa; Malacalcyonacea; Plexauridae. The record is from the annotation of a GenBank genome assembly.